Molecule: ribosomal RNA, 172 nt
Filed under: Priestia flexa
Lineage: Bacteria; Bacillati; Bacillota; Bacilli; Caryophanales; Bacillaceae
Description: Bacillus flexus partial 16S ribosomal RNA
Rfam family: Bacterial small subunit ribosomal RNA
Source: RNAcentral
UUCUUCGGAGAGUUUGAUCCUGGCUCAGGAUGAACGCUGGCGGCGUGCCUAAUACAUGCAAGUCGAGCGAACUGAUUAGAAGCUUGCUUCUAUGACGUUAGCGGCGGACGGGUGAGUAACACGUGGGCAACCUGCCUGUAAGACUGGGAUAACUCCGGGAAACCGGAGCUAA